Molecule: long non-coding RNA, 1850 nt
Organism: Macaca fascicularis (crab-eating macaque)
Lineage: Eukaryota; Metazoa; Chordata; Mammalia; Primates; Cercopithecidae
Source: Ensembl
UUUUUUUUUUUGGUAGAGAUGGGGAAGGGGGUCUUGCUAUGUUGCCCAGGCUGGUGUUUUAUUUUAAAAAAUCCAAUCUUUUAUUUGAGGUAUUAGUCUGUCCUUGCAUUGCUAUAGGAACUACCUGAGACUGGGUAAUUUAUGAAGAAAAGAAGUUUAAUUGACUCACAGUUCUGCAGGCUAUACAGGAAGCAUGGCUGGGGAAGCCUCAGGAAACUUACAAUCAUGGGGGAAGGUGAAGGGGAAGCAGGCAAAUCUUCCAUGGCAGAGCAGGAGACAGAGAAGGGAGAAGAGUUAGAUGCUUUUAAACAACCACAUUUUGUGAGAACUCACCAUCACGAGGACAGCAAGGGGAAGUCUGCCCUCAUGAUCCAAUCACCUCCCCGCUGACCUCUCCUCCAAUAAUGGGGAAUACAAUUAGACAUGAGAUUUGGGUGGAGAUACAGAGCCAAACCAUAUAAAGGCGUUUAGACCAUUUACAAUACAAUUGUUGACAUGGUUUGGUCUAUGUCUUUCUGAUGGAUUGACUUCUUUAUAUCAUUAAGUGUACAUCUUUAUCUCUAAUAAUGUUUUCUGGUCUUAAAGUCUACUUUGUCUGAUAUAGUAUAGUUACAUCAACUGAUAUCUUUAUUUUUAUUUUUUUUAUUGAAACGGGGUCUCACUCUGUCACCUAGGCUGGAGUGCAGUGGCAUGAUCUCGGCUCACUGCAACUUCCGCCUCCUGCGUUCAAGCGACUCUCUUGCCUCAGUCUCCUGAGUAGCUGGGAUUAUAGGCGUGCACCACGACACCUGGCUAAUUUUUGUAUUUUUAGCAGAGAUGGGGUUUUACCAUGUUGGCUAGGCUGGUUGAACUCCUGACCUCAAGUGAUUCGCCUGCCUUGGCCUCCCAAAGUGCUGGGAUUACAGGCAUAAACCACCACGCCCAGCCUCACUAGUUUUAUUAUCCACUGAUGCAACUUGCUUGAGACAAUUUUACUAUGGUGGUUAUCAAAUGGUGAUUUUCUAAUUCUGUAAUUCCUUCUGUGUUCAUUAGUUUGAGGUCUAUGGGAUGUAGUGUUGAUAGGGUUCUGUCUACUUCACUUGCCUCUGUUCUGAGGGCCUAGCUCUCCAAGUCUUUCAACUGAAAUCCCGUAGUAUUCCCCAGGUUCCUUCCUUUUGAGAUAUCUUGAAAACUAUCUACUCAGCACUGUGACUCUGCAAAAUUCUGCUCUGCUUUAGAGAGGUCUAGGCUUAGUGUUUUGAGUUCGCGUCUUGUACAUUCAGCUUUCACCAGAUGGCUUGAGACCUAGCCAUCUAUUUGAGGCCAUUCAAGCCUCCAAAUUUUGUCACUGCAGCUGGUGCGACUAUAAAAACAUAAAAAACCUGGAUCCUCAGCCUCUGGCCAGAGUUGGCAAAUUCAAGUGGCUGCAGGCUGUCAGCACUCCUGUCUACAAUCCUGACCCUUGAGUUACUGUUGCGUCUGCAACUCACUUAAACAAAAACCUCGCCUCUGGCUUCCAUUUUCUUUUGUAAAUCUCCAUCUUAAGAAAUUCACAGGCAGGGCGAGGUGGCUCACGCCUGUAAUCUCAGCACUUUGGGAGGCUGAGGAAGGAGGAUCACCUGAGGUCAGGAGUUCAAGACCAGCCUGGCCAACAUGGCAAAACCCCAUCUCUACUAAAAAUAUAAAAAUUACCCAGGAAUGGUGGCGGGUGCCUGUAAUCCCAGCUACUCGAGAGGCUGAGGCACAAGAAUCGCUAGAAUCCAGAAGGCGGAGGUUGCAGUGAGCUGAGAUCACGUUAUUGCACUCCAGCCUGGGCGACAGAGUAAAACCCUGUCUCAAAAAAAAAAAAAAAAAAAAAGAAAAAAAAAAAA